This 482-nucleotide ribosomal RNA is filed under the name uncultured bacterium. RNAcentral's name for it is "partial 16S ribosomal RNA". It matches the Rfam family "Bacterial small subunit ribosomal RNA", at positions 28 to 507 of the family's 1533-position model. The record is from RNAcentral.
GACGAACGCUGGCGGCGUGCUUAACACAUGCCAGUCGAACGAUGAAGCAGAGAAACGCGCACUUCGGUUCAAAUUUCACUUCGGAUUAGUGGCAGACGGGUGAGUAACGCGUGAGCAACCUACCUCUUACAAAGGGAUAGCCUCGGGAAACCGUGAUUAAUACCAUAUGACACAUUCAUAAGGCAUCUUAAGAAUGUUAAAGCUACGGCGGUAAGAGAUGGGCUCGCGUCCCAUUAGCUAGUUGGUGAGGUAACGGCCCACCAAGGCGACGAUGGGUAACCGGCCUGAGAGGGUGAACGGUCACAUUGGAACUGAGACACGGUCCAAACUCCUACGGGAGGCAGCAGUGGGGAAUAUUGCACAAUGGAGGGAACUCUGAUGCAGCGACGCCGCGUGAGCGAUGAAGGAAUUCGUUUCGUAAAACUCUGUUCUAUGGGAAGAAAAGGACUGUACCAUAGGAGAAAGCCCCGGCUAAAUACGUG